CCUACGGGAGGCAGCAGUGAGGAAUAUUGGUCAAUGGACGAGAGUCUGAACCAGCCAAGUAGCGUGAAGGAUGACUGCUCUCUGGAUUGUAAACUUCUUUUAUAAAGGAAUAAAACGCGGCACGUGUGCCUUUUUGCAUGUACUUUAUGAAUAAGGAUCGGCUAACUCCGUGCCAGCAGCCGCGGUAAUACGGAGGAUCCGAGCGUUAUCCGGAUUUAUUGGGUUUAAAGGGAGCGUAGAUGGGUUUUUAAGUCAGUUGUGAAAGUUUGGGGCUCAACCGUAAAAUUGCAGUUGAUACUGGGAGGCUUGAGUACAGUUGAGGCAGGCGGAAUUCGUGGUGUAGCGGUGAAAUGCUUAGAUAUCACGCAGAACCCCGAUUGCGAAGGCAGCUUGCUAAACUGUGACUGACGUUGAUGCUCGAAAGUGUGGGGAUCAAACAGGAUUAGAUACCCGAGUAGUC
RNAcentral lists this ribosomal RNA (460 nucleotides) under uncultured bacterium. RNAcentral describes it as "partial 16S ribosomal RNA". It matches the Rfam family "Bacterial small subunit ribosomal RNA", at positions 338 to 795 of the family's 1533-position model. The record is from RNAcentral.